AUACGUAGGUGGCAAGCGUUGUCCGGAAUUACUGGGCGUAAAGGAUGCGUAGGCGGAUAUGUAAGUCAGAUGUGAAAUACCCGGGCUCAACUUGGGUGCUGCAUUUGAAACUGCAUGUCUAGAGUGCGGGAGAGGAAAGUGGAAUUCCUAGUGUAGCGGUGAAAUGCGUAGAGAUUAGGAGGAACACCAGUGGCGAAGGCGACUACCUGGACCGAUACUGACACUGAGGAGCGAAAGCGUGGGGAGC
This 247-nucleotide ribosomal RNA is filed under the name uncultured bacterium. RNAcentral describes it as "partial 16S ribosomal RNA". It matches the Rfam family "Bacterial small subunit ribosomal RNA", at positions 523 to 769 of the family's 1533-position model. The record is from RNAcentral.